This 463-nucleotide ribosomal RNA is filed under the name uncultured bacterium. Its description in RNAcentral is "partial 16S ribosomal RNA". It matches the Rfam family "Bacterial small subunit ribosomal RNA", at positions 27 to 507 of the family's 1533-position model. The record is from RNAcentral.
GGACGAACGCUGGCGGCGUGCUUAACACAUGCAAUUCGAACGGAAAGGCCCUUCGGGGUACUCGAGUGGCGAACGGGUGAGUAACACGUGGGUGAUCUGCCCUGCACUUUGGGAUAAGCCUGGGAAACUGGGUCUAAUACCGAAUAGGACCACGCACUUCAUGGUGUGUGGUGGAAUGCUUUUGCGGUGUUGGAUGGGCCCGCGGCCUAUCAGCUUGUUGGUGGGGUAAUGGCCUACCAAGGCGACGACGGGUAGCCGGCCUGAGAGGGUGACCGGCCACACGGGGACUGAGAGACGGACCAGACGCCUACGGGAGGCAGCAGUGGGGAAUAUUGCAGAAUGGGCGCAAGCCUGAUGCAGCGACGCCGCGUGAGGGAUGACGGCCUUCGGGUUGUAAACCUCUUUCAAUAGGGACGAAGAGCAAGUGACGGUACCUAUAGAAGAAGCACCGGCCAACUACGUG